AAAGAAUAGAAAUAAUUGUAAAGCCAAUAAACAGACUUCACCCACAGUGAUCAACUGACCAACAACUAGAUUCAGUUCAACUCCACGAACAGUAAUUGUAGAAUCAACAUAGAGUGGAAAAUCCUUCUCUAAAUAAAAGCCAAAGUGGGAUAGUGAUGAUUGGGUCCCCAAAGGUACAAGUCCUCAGGUUGUGGAGCAGGCAAUUUGGCACACCUUACUUCCUAUCUCCAUCAAGAAAAGACUGAGGACCCACUGUGGAUGCAGAGGGAAGCCUGCGUGUUUGGCCGGCAAUCGCAAUGCUAAGAUGCAGGAAGCUGAGUGGAGCCAAAGAGAGUAGCUGGCAAGUGGCUGACGGCUUGGUCUACGAUCACAGGUGAGCACCCAGAUAACAGGCACGAUGUGGAUUCAGUCUGCUCCAUGUUGGGAGGCUCCUCGGGGAUCCCAGGAGUUCAGUCUCAUCAGUAAAUGAAGAUGGAUGCUGGCAUCUGCUGUGUACCCUACUGUGCUGUGAACAUUUGAGAAAGCUUCACGAAUCCUUGACUAAACAACCAGUGUCUUACUGUUCUUGUCAAAAGCUUCCUUUUUAGGCUCAGAGUGGCAUGUCACCAAAGCUAUAGAAUGACAAGCAAAUUUGGAAAUGUACUUUUACAGAACCACGUUGGGGAGAAGACCAAGCUCCCAUGUGAAAGAUGCCCUCCCUAAACCAGGAGGAAAGAAACAUUCUUAUCACCAGAGAUGGAGAACAGAGGCUGAGAGAAAUCUGUACAAACAGAUCUUGUGAAAAUAACCCUUAUCUUCUUUAGUCUCCCUAUCAUUAUGGUUAUUUUUCCACAAUUACAACUUUUGUUCAACCUAGUAUAUAAGUUAGGCAUUUAAGCCUGACCGCUUUUAGGGUCUUCAUUUUCCUGUGAGGGCUCCCAUAUGCAUGUAAAAAUAUCAAAUAAAAUUUGUAUGUUUUUCUCCUGUUAAUCUGUCUUAUAUCAACUUAAUUCUCAGGCAGUGAGAUAAUGGAAAAUAUAUAUUGGUCUCUGGUUCCUGGCACAGAGCACGUAAACCCCUUGUAAUUGCCUAAGUGAUAAGAACACUAGAAGCAUCUCUUGUUCUAACGUUGGUCUUUGACCUCAGUUCCUGACACAGGGCUCCUGAAACCCUUGUAACUUCCUGGGUAAAAGGAGUGUCUUGUUUUAAUGAGGUGACUCUGGACUCCUCAAUGAGAGCUGGUUACCAGAAGGACCAAGUCAUGAUUAGAAGCUUGGAAUUUUCAGCCCCACCUCCCAUUCUCUUGAGAAGGGAGAUGGGGCUGAAAAUGCAGUUGAUGUUCAAUCAUGCCUAUGUGACAAAGCCUCCGUAAAAUCCCAAAAGUAUAGGGUUUGGAGAGCUUCCAGGUUGGUGAACACAUGGAGGUGCUGGGAGAGUCACGUGCCUGGAGAGGGCACGGAAGGUCCACGUCCCUUCCCAUAUACCUUGCCCUACGCAUCUCUCCCCUCUGGAUGUUCAUCUGUAUCCUUUAUCAUAGCCUUGUAUAAUGAACUGGAAAUGUAAGUGAGCUGUUUCCCUGAGUUCUGUGAGCCGCUCUAGCAAAUUAAUCAAACCCAAGGACUGAGUUGUUGGAACUUCCAAUCUAUAGCCGGUUGGUCAGAAGCACAGGUGACAAUCUGGGCUUGUGACUGGCAUCUGAGGGGUGUGUGUGUGUGUGUGUGUGCAGGGGGCAGUCUUGUGGGGACUGAGACUUUACACUGUGAAUCUGACGCUAUCUCUGGCUUGAGUCAGAAUUGAAUCAAAUUGUGGGACGCCCAGCUGGUGUCGCAGAAACUUGCUCAUUGUUGUGAUGACAAACCUCCACACGUUUGGUGAGCAGAAGUGUUCUCUGUGAAGGUAAAGGAGACACACAGGGAAGAAACUUAUAGUAGGGAAGAACUGGAUUUUUCCCUUCAUAGGAAGGAAAAAACUGAGUUUUUCCAUUUAAUCAGGCCCAGCCGGAGACUGUAACAGGGUAGAGGGAAAGUCUUGCCUUCCCCAGAGAAGCUUGUUAACUACUUGGUGUUGGUUGAAAAACAACAUCCUCUCUCCCCCUCACCCACGCUUUCUGCCAGUUCCUGGGAUUGUUGAAAUGGGAAGGAGUUGUAAAGAGGUGAGGGGGUUAUUCAGGGGUUCCUAGAAGGAAUGUUGUGAGUAUGAAUGCCAUUCCAGGGGUCCUUGGCCCUAUCUCUGCUUUGCCUCUGUCUCUCUCGAGAUCGUUUGUUCCUUGUUCUGUUUUUCAGAAGUGAAAGAAAUUAGAUUUCAGAAUCACUUGACAGGAGGAGAGGAGGUGCAAGAAAACAC
Long non-coding RNA from Equus caballus (horse), 2322 nucleotides. NCBI's taxonomy places the organism in Eukaryota, Metazoa, Chordata, Mammalia, Perissodactyla, Equidae. The record is from Ensembl.